This is a long non-coding RNA of Epinephelus moara (kelp grouper), 867 nucleotides long. RefSeq lists it as uncharacterized. The transcript is spliced from 3 exons. Lineage: Eukaryota; Metazoa; Chordata; Actinopteri; Perciformes; Serranidae. The record is from RefSeq and is a predicted model, not a curated record.
AAGAGGCGGGAAGGGGUCGCCCUUUACCUGUGCUUUACUCUGAGACAGACAAAGGGGAGGAAGAUGCAGGCUGCUUCGCCUGGGGUGCUGUCGGACUCUUCGCAGCUAAAAUGGAACUCUCUGGAAAUGACCCUGGACCACCGCCAGACCCUGGACCACCACCAUAGGCGUCAUUUAGGUAUGGCAAGGUAUGGCAGCUGCCAUACCUUGGAAUUGGGAGAAAAAAAAUGAGAGGUUCUGUAGUCAUCUUACUUGUGAGUGUCCUUCAUAUUUGUUGCAAGUGAUCAGAUGUGUUAUGUUAGAUAGUCCGAGGCGCACUGGCUGGUUGUUUUCAUUGUAUUGCACUUAAAUAGGUCAAUAAUAUGCUCAUCAGUGAAUACGAGUGUUAUUGAAUCAAAUUGUUCGCCACUUCGCUCCUCCGCGAGUUAUGAGUUAUGUGAGUUAUCUGUGUGUUGUAAAAGCAUUUUGCUCUGCUGCUGUAGACAGCCUGUCUAAAUGAUGUCUUGAAGCCUGUCUGAUUGUAUGUGGGGUUUUUUUCUUCAUGUCGGCAUGUUAAGCUUGUAUUUUCGGUCUCUGGAGACACUCCAAUAAAUUCGCCUAUACAGUAUUGUACCAAAUUGGCCUUUGUUUUACUGUGUUUCAUACACCGGACCCCUUGGUUAUCUUCUAGAAAUGAGCUUGUAAUUAAUUUAUUUUCUUUAUUUUCUGUGAAGUUAAAAUGAAAAUGAAAUGAACUGUUGACCAAAUGUCUUAAUGCUAGGUAAAAGGUUUUUAAAGAAACUUUGAAGAUUCAUGAGUGAAACAAGACAUGUUGACUAAAUGUUUUAAAAUGUUUAAAAAAUAUUUCUUGAAAUAAAUAAUUUUUCA